GGUCCGCUGGCUCAAUGGCAGAGCGUCUGACUACGAUCUUCAUUCAGUCACGAGUCGGCGAGAACCCAGUCUUGGCGUGAGUAGUCAUCAGGAGGUUCCAGGUUCGACCCCUGGGUGGAUCG
This is a non-coding RNA of Immersiella caudata, 122 nucleotides long. The record is from the annotation of a GenBank genome assembly. NCBI's taxonomy places the organism in Eukaryota, Fungi, Ascomycota, Sordariomycetes, Sordariales, Lasiosphaeriaceae.